Molecule: ribosomal RNA, 305 nt
Filed under: uncultured bacterium
Lineage: Bacteria
Description: bacterial SSU rRNA
Rfam family: Bacterial small subunit ribosomal RNA
Source: RNAcentral
GUGCCUACGGGGGGCAGCAGUGAGGAAUAUUGGUCAAUGGGAGGAAUCCUGAACCAGCCAUGCCGCGUGCAGGACGACGGCUCUACGAGUUGUAAACUGCUUUUGUACCGGGGUAAAAUGCCUUACGAGUAGGGUUUUGAAAGUACGGUACGAAUAAGCAUCGGCUAACUCCGUGCCAGCAGCCGCGGUAAUACGGAGGAUGCGAGCGUUAUCCGGAUUUAUUGGGUUUAAAGGGUGCGCAGGCGGAGGCACAAGUCAGUGGUAAAAUCGCGGGGCUCAACCCCGCUCCGCCGUUGAAACUGUGU